GACGGGGUCUCAGGAGAGUCUCUUCUAGAAGAAUUAGGACGAUCAGCCUGCAAAAGGGA
RNAcentral lists this transfer RNA (59 nucleotides) under Pyramimonas parkeae. Lineage: Eukaryota; Viridiplantae; Chlorophyta; Pyramimonadophyceae; Pyramimonadales; Pyramimonadaceae. The record is from RNAcentral.